CCGACCUUAGCUCAUGUUAGAGCGGAGUAGUGUAGAUCCUUAGGUCGCUGGUUCGAUUCCGGCAGGUCGGA
RNAcentral lists this transfer RNA (71 nucleotides) under Salix viminalis (osier). It matches the Rfam family "tRNA". Rfam says of the family: Transfer RNA (tRNA) molecules are approximately 80 nucleotides in length. Their secondary structure includes four short double-helical elements and three loops (D, anti-codon, and T loops). Lineage: Eukaryota; Viridiplantae; Streptophyta; Magnoliopsida; Malpighiales; Salicaceae. The record is from RNAcentral.